This 119-nucleotide transfer RNA is filed under the name Alphaproteobacteria bacterium. RNAcentral's name for it is "tRNA-OTHER". The record is from RNAcentral. Lineage: Bacteria; Pseudomonadati; Pseudomonadota; Alphaproteobacteria.
CGCGCGGUGGCCGAAGUCAGCUCGUGCUGGUCGCGAAUGACGUCGGCGGGCUCGCCGUCGACCGCCUUGGCAUAAGCGAUGUUGCAGCGCACGAGGUUCAAAUCCUCGCCGCGCAGCCA